UUAAGCGACUAAGCGUACACGGUGGAUGCCCUGGCAGUCAGAGGCGAUGAAGGACGUGCUAAUCUGCGAUAAGCGUCGGUAAGGUGAUAUGAACCGUUAUAACCGGCGAUUUCCGAAUGGGGAAACCCAGUGUGUUUCGACACACUAUCAUUAACUGAAUCCAUAGGUUAAUGAGGCGAACCGGGGGAACUGAAACAUCUAAGUACCCCGAGGAAAAGAAAUCAACCGAGAUUCCCCCAGUAGCGGCGAGCGAACGGGGAGGAGCCCAGAGUCUGAAUCAGUGUGUGUGUUAGUGGAAGCGUCUGGAAAGGCGCGCGAUACAGGGUGACAGCCCCGUACACAAAAAUGCACAUAUUGUGAGCUCGAUGAGUAGGGCGGGACACGUGGUAUCCUGUCUGAAUAUGGGGGGACCAUCCUCCAAGGCUAAAUACUCCUGACUGACCGAUAGUGAACCAGUACCGUGAGGGAAAGGCGAAAAGAACCCCGGCGAGGGGAGUGAAAAAGAACCUGAAACCGUGUACGUACAAGCAGUGGGAGCCUCUUUUAUGGGGUGACUGCGUACCUUUUGUAUAAUGGGUCAGCGACUUAUAUUCUGUAGCAAGGUUAACCGAAUAGGGGAGCCGAAGGGAAACCGAGUCUUAACUGGGCGUUAAGUUGCAGGGUAUAGACCCGAAACCCGGUGAUCUAGCCAUGGGCAGGUUGAAGGUUGGGUAACACUAACUGGAGGACCGAACCGACUAAUGUUGAAAAAUUAGCGGAUGACUUGUGGCUGGGGGUGAAAGGCCAAUCAAACCGGGAGAUAGCUGGUUCUCCCCGAAAGCUAUUUAGGUAGCGCCUCGUGAAUUCAUCUCCGGGGGUAGAGCACUGUUUCGGCAAGGGGGUCAUCCCGACUUACCAACCCGAUGCAAACUGCGAAUACCGGAGAAUGUUAUCACGGGAGACACACGGCGGGUGCUAACGUCCGUCGUGAAGAGGGAAACAACCCAGACCGCCAGCUAAGGUCCCAAAGUCAUGGUUAAGUGGGAAACGAUGUGGGAAGGCCCAGACAGCCAGGAUGUUGGCUUAGAAGCAGCCAUCAUUUAAAGAAAGCGUAAUAGCUCACUGGUCGAGUCGGCCUGCGCGGAAGAUGUAACGGGGCUAAACCAUGCACCGAAGCUGCGGCAGCGACACUAUGUGUUGUUGGGUAGGGGAGCGUUCUGUAAGCCUGUGAAGGUGUACUGUGAGGUAUGCUGGAGGUAUCAGAAGUGCGAAUGCUGACAUAAGUAACGAUAAAGCGGGUGAAAAGCCCGCUCGCCGGAAGACCAAGGGUUCCUGUCCAACGUUAAUCGGGGCAGGGUGAGUCGACCCCUAAGGCGAGGCCGAAAGGCGUAGUCGAUGGGAAACAGGUUAAUAUUCCUGUACUUGGUGUUACUGCGAAGGGGGGACGGAGAAGGCUAUGUUGGCCGGGCGACGGUUGUCCCGGUUUAAGCGUGUAGGCUGGUUUUCCAGGCAAAUCCGGAAAAUCAAGGCUGAGGCGUGAUGACGAGGCACUACGGUGCUGAAGCAACAAAUGCCCUGCUUCCAGGAAAAGCCUCUAAGCAUCAGGUAACAUCAAAUCGUACCCCAAACCGACACAGGUGGUCAGGUAGAGAAUACCAAGGCGCUUGAGAGAACUCGGGUGAAGGAACUAGGCAAAAUGGUGCCGUAACUUCGGGAGAAGGCACGCUGAUAUGUAGGUGAAGUCCCUCGCGGAUGGAGCUGAAAUCAGUCGAAGAUACCAGCUGGCUGCAACUGUUUAUUAAAAACACAGCACUGUGCAAACACGAAAGUGGACGUAUACGGUGUGACGCCUGCCCGGUGCCGGAAGGUUAAUUGAUGGGGUCAGCGCAAGCGAAGCUCUUGAUCGAAGCCCCGGUAAACGGCGGCCGUAACUAUAACGGUCCUAAGGUAGCGAAAUUCCUUGUCGGGUAAGUUCCGACCUGCACGAAUGGCGUAAUGAUGGCCAGGCUGUCUCCACCCGAGACUCAGUGAAAUUGAACUCGCUGUGAAGAUGCAGUGUACCCGCGGCAAGACGGAAAGACCCCGUGAACCUUUACUAUAGCUUGACACUGAACAUUGAGCCUUGAUGUGUAGGAUAGGUGGGAGGCUUAGAAGUGUGGACGCCAGUCUGCAUGGAGCCGACCUUGAAAUACCACCCUUUAAUGUUUGAUGUUCUAACGUUGACCCGUGAUCCGGGUUGCGGACAGUGUCUGGUGGGUAGUUUGACUGGGGCGGUCUCCUCCUAAAGAGUAACGGAGGAGCACGAAGGUUGGCUAAUCCUGGUCGGACAUCAGGAGGUUAGUGCAAUGGCAUAAGCCAGCUUGACUGCGAGCGUGACGGCGCGAGCAGGUGCGAAAGCAGGUCAUAGUGAUCCGGUGGUUCUGAAUGGAAGGGCCAUCGCUCAACGGAUAAAAGGUACUCCGGGGAUAACAGGCUGAUACCGCCCAAGAGUUCAUAUCGACGGCGGUGUUUGGCACCUCGAUGUCGGCUCAUCACAUCCUGGGGCUGAAGUAGGUCCCAAGGGUAUGGCUGUUCGCCAUUUAAAGUGGUACGCGAGCUGGGUUUAGAACGUCGUGAGACAGUUCGGUCCCUAUCUGCCGUGGGCGCUGGAGAAUUGAGGGGGGCUGCUCCUAGUACGAGAGGACCGGAGUGGACGCAUCACUGGUGUUCGGGUUGUCAUGCCAAUGGCACUGCCCGGUAGCUAAAUGCGGAAGAGAUAAGUGCUGAAAGCAUCUAAGCACGAAACUUGCCCCGAGAUGAGUUCUCCCUGACUCCUUGAGAGUCCUGAAGGAACGUUGAAGACGACGACGUUGAUAGGCCGGGUGUGUAAGCGCAGCGAUGCGUUGAGCUAACCGGUACUAAUGAACCGUGAGGCUUAACCUU
RNAcentral lists this ribosomal RNA (2901 nucleotides) under Escherichia coli. RNAcentral's name for it is "bacterial LSU rRNA". It matches the Rfam family "Bacterial large subunit ribosomal RNA". The record is from RNAcentral. Lineage: Bacteria; Pseudomonadati; Pseudomonadota; Gammaproteobacteria; Enterobacterales; Enterobacteriaceae.